This 70-nucleotide transfer RNA is filed under the name Marmota monax (woodchuck). RNAcentral describes it as "tRNA.Ala". The stretch from base 5 to 65 matches the Rfam family "tRNA", at positions 6 to 65 of the family's 71-position model. From Rfam's summary of the family: Transfer RNA (tRNA) molecules are approximately 80 nucleotides in length. Lineage: Eukaryota; Metazoa; Chordata; Mammalia; Rodentia; Sciuridae. The record is from RNAcentral.
GGGCUGGGGCUCAGUGGUAGAGCGCUUGCCAUGCACGCAGGAGGCACUGGGUUCGAGCCUCAGCACCACA